This is a non-coding RNA of Schistosoma rodhaini, 46 nucleotides long. Lineage: Eukaryota; Metazoa; Platyhelminthes; Trematoda; Strigeidida; Schistosomatidae. The record is from Rfam.
GUACUGCUGAGGAGUCCCGCGAUAGAACAAAACGGCCGUCCAGUAC